Long non-coding RNA from Balaenoptera acutorostrata (minke whale), 916 nucleotides. RefSeq lists it as uncharacterized. NCBI's taxonomy places the organism in Eukaryota, Metazoa, Chordata, Mammalia, Artiodactyla, Balaenopteridae. The record is from RefSeq and is a predicted model, not a curated record. The transcript is spliced from 2 exons.
CGGCGGCGGCGGCGGCAGGCGCAGGGCUCCUCGCAGUCCGCCGGGGUGUCUGCCCGGGCUGGGCCCGCGCCGCUGUAGGGCCACCGUGUAGGUUAAAUGCUGAGGUCGUUGGGGUAAAGGGUUGGUUGGUCGUUUUCGAAGGCCAGGAACACCGGGCACCGUUAUUCGGGGGCCCGCGAGCUCCUCCAGGCCGGGUAGGGGCUAUGUUCUCACUGUGACGUCCUCCACCCCGGCUCCCGCCGAGCUGAAACCUCUGUGUUGAUUGAGGAAGCAAUAACAGAGCGGAGAGCCUGUACGUCGGAAGCGGGUGGUUUGUUGGAUGAACUCAGUGAAAACAAGGUUUUGGUGACUUCCUGGAGCUGAGAUAUGAGCCUGGGGCUUCCAGCUCCCUACACGGUGCUUGUGAAUGAGAUCCAGGUGUUCCCACCUCUGCUCUCUGUGGUCCUCUGGGCAGGUCUUUUUUCCCACAACACUUAAGCAGUCUGUUCUGCAAUCAUUAACUGAGAGCAGGAACUAGAUCAUGCGGUUUCAUUUUGUACCUAACAGAGUAAAUGUUUUUUGCCAUCCAAGCUUAUUUUGAAUUUGCAUUUAAAUGAUAAAUGUUGAGUCAAUGAAAAUCAAGUUUUGACUAAACAAUAGUUGUAGAUGUGCUAAAUUUUUAAAAUUACUAUUAUCUAGUAGAGUUUUUUUUUUUUACCUAUAAGGGUAUGGCUUUUGUGAUAGUGUAAAUAAUGGUUUUUUUUAUUUUCAUAGACUAGGAAGACAAUAAUUACCUUCGUAAGUACUUAUGUAUAUCUAUGUCAAUUUUUCUAUAAAAGCUUAUGCUUUAUUACUAUAUUCAGUAAUCAAUUUCUGAAACUUCUGUUUGUCAUUUGUAUAAUUAUGACAUGUUUAUAAAAUAAACUUUUAAACCUCA